AGUGAACGCUGGCGGUAGGCCUAACACAUGCAAGUCGAACGGCAGCACAGUAAGAGCUUGCUCUUACGGGUGGCGAGUGGCGGACGGGUGAGGAAUACAUCGGAAUCUACUUUUUCGUGGGGGAUAACGUAGGGAAACUUACGCUAAUACCGCAUACGACCUACGGGUGAAAGCAGGGGAUCUUCGGACCUUGCGCGAUUGAAUGAGCCGAUGUCGGAUUAGCUAGUUGGCGGGGGAAAGGCCCACCAAGGCGACGAUCCGUAGCUGGUCUGAGAGGAUGAUCAGGCACACUGGAACUGAGACACGGUCCAGACUCCUGCGGUAGGCAGCAGUGGGGAAUAUUGGACGAUGGGGGCAAGCCUGAUACAGCCAUACCGCGUGGGUGAAGAAGCACUUCUGGUUGUAAAGCCCUUUUGUUGGGAAAGAAAAGCAGCAGGUUAAUACCCCGCUGUUCUGACGGUACCCAAAGAAUAAGCACCGGCUAACUUCGUG
Molecule: ribosomal RNA, 492 nt
Filed under: uncultured bacterium
Lineage: Bacteria
Description: partial 16S ribosomal RNA
Rfam family: Bacterial small subunit ribosomal RNA
Source: RNAcentral